UUAUUGGUGAGGUUAAUAAAUUAAAUUAAACUUUUUUUUUUUAAUUCAGGCAUUGCUGAAGACAGCUCUCCUCCGCUACGGGGCUUUUCCUGUUCGCUGUCGCAUGUUCUGAUUUCAUCAGUGCACGCGGGAUUCCGCCGUUUAAACAGGAUUAAGAUCAUUGAUGUUGCAGUGCUGAUGUCCCGCCCUCCUCCAGACCCACUGUACAUCCUGAGGGGUUCAGGGGCCGCAGUGAACACCCUUCACUUCUGCUGUGGUGGGGAUGGACCACCAUUUCUCUACUCUGGGUCAGGUAAAGGUGCGAUCCAUGUUUGGAACCUGACCACUAGGAGAGCAGAACAUGUUUUAGAGAGCCAUGCUGGGAACUCUGUUAUUUGGCUCCACACCUUCAAAGACAGCAGCAGCAGCCUAAUCAGUCAGGGUCGGGACAUGCGGGUGUGCGUGUGGGAUCUGUCUGAAGGCCGCAGCACAGUGACGGACUCUCUCCUCACGGGCAGUGUGGGGUUCUGUCAGUGCUCUCUGCUGGAGUCCCGGCCCGGGUCUGCUCUACUGGCCCACCCCACAGGACACAUGGAGGAGGUGAGCGUGGUGGAGAUGAGGAGCUGGACUCCGGUGUGCACUCUGAAACCUGAUUCAAAGCUGGGGAUGCUCAUGUGUAUGAAGAUGUGGCAGACGGAUUCUGGUCCUGUUCUGUGUGCUGGGUAUGAGGACGGCUCUCUGGUGUUAUGGGAUGUUUCCCAUCGCCGUCCGUUCAGCUGUCUGAAGGUGCAUCCUGAUCCAGUCAUGUGUCUAGACAUUGAUGUAUGCAAGCAGAAAGGCAUUUCUGGGUCUUCAGAGAAGAUUCUCCAAUCCUGGACAUUUGACAACCAGCAAAACCUUCAGAUGCGCGACUCCGUUCAGAUGACCAAUCCUGGGGUCUCCCAGCUACGUAUCCGCGCAGACGGCAAGAUCCUAGCAACGGCGGGCUGGGACAACAACAUCAGAGUGUUUGGCUUGAAGAAACUGAAGCCACUGGCUGUUCUGCAACAUCAUACUGACAUGGAAUGGUUGCAGUGAUUGUGAUUUUGUGCACGAUCAAGAGGCAGGCGUGCGGUGACACACUUCCUGUUUUGUCUCUCAACGGCGCCUUUCAGAAUCCACCAGAACUGGAGCCUGUUUUCAGCUGGUCAUGCAGAGAAUGAAUGUGUUGGACUACUGUAAAGACCAGCCGCGACUGACGGCAGUAAAGGACUCCAUGUCUUGCUGUUUUUUAAUUUUAAACCCAAACUCUCACUUUUCUGUCUGUUUUCCUCUGCAUUUCAUUUCAUUGGUGGAGUGUAAUUCGAUGACACUGCUCCAUUAUGCAUAGGAUUAGAGUUUUCGCCAUUUUAAGGAGGGUACAUAGUGAUGAUCUUUGCACAUGAUGGGCACGUAUGGCUAACUUGUUCAUUUAGAAAGAUCCAUGCGAGUUAAAUUUAGCAUAAAAUGCUUUAAAAUCUCAGAAUGGUGAGUUUAUACCCAUCACCCCCAGUCACAAUGACCAAUUGACUUGGUCGGAAAACCAACUAAAAUAAAGUUUGGUCCACAGAGGGCAAAACAUACAGGAAAUUGCCAUGGCUUUUUCCUGUGCUCCUCAUCUCUGCCAUCCAGAUGAAGAGCAGGAAAUCACAUGGGUUUGUGAACAAUAUGGAGUUUGAGUGAAAUUCUAAAUUUGGAAGAAUUCUGGUCAUUCGCCAAAUGUAAAUUGAUAGAGCAUUCCCAGAUAUACACCCUGAAAAUGAUGUAAAUAAAAGAUUAUUGGAGUACAUUUUACAAGAAAAUACAAUGUCAGUCAUUCUAAUAAAAAAAAAAUCAAUGGUACUUGUCACUACUUUGUAAUUAUGUGUGAAAUUUACUAGCGAUUUCUCUGUGAAAAUAGUGUCAAAGUAAACCCCACACCAAAUUUCAUCCAUUUGGCAGAUGCUUUUAUUCAAAGCAACUUGCAGGAUAGGUUACCCAAAAAUGAAAAUGACCCCAUGAUUUACUCCAUAUUUAUUUAUGCAUAUUUAAAACGUUAUAAUCUAAAAUAACUUGCUUACUAGUUUAGUAACACGUAAUGCGAUGUAUGACACAGGAUGUAGGAGUAUUGUAAGCUUGGAUGCCUCUCGCAAUUUAAACAAAAAGGGCUGAGCAACAAACUCAAGCUCCUCUUCUCUUAUAUCGAAAUCUUCCGACAUUUCUCUUUUAAAAUUUCUCGUUUUAGACUUCUAAUUCGUGACUGGUGUUUUGUAUCAUUUGCACUUCCGUGUUUGUCAUUGCGUCAUGCGACGGGUCAGGGGUUACUCUUCCACCACAAAUCGAUGUGUACGGCUGUCUGCUGGAAGUUAGUUAUUAUAGUUAAUAAAGUUUUAAAUAUGGCUAUUUCUUUUACGAAAACCCAUUGCUUCAGAAGGCCUUUAUAAACCCCCAGAGGUGUGUGGAGUACUUUUACGAUGGAUGCACUUUAUUUUGCUUCAAAUUGCCCCCAUUUACUACCAUUAUAAAGCUUGGAAGAGCCAAUAUAUUUUUAAAUGUUCGUCUGAAAGAAGAUAGUCACAUACACCUAUGGCUUGAGGGUGAGUAAAUCAUGGAAUAAUUUUUAUUUUUGGGUGAACUAACCCUUUAAGGUAGCCUAUACAUUUUGUCAUGUAUUCUCUGAGAAUUGAACCCACGACCUUGGCAUUGCUCACGCCGUGCUCUACUGUUUGAGCUACAGGAAUAUGAGAUUCUAAUCUCAAUUAAUAAACUCUCAGUCAGUGCCGUAAGCAUAACCACUGCAAAUGAAAGUGUUUUUAAAGUGUUUCCAUUUUCAUGUUUUCCAGUGCUGACUGUCAUAACGUGGCACAGCCUUAUGAGAAAGAAAACAGCCAAUCAGAAGGCAGGGCAGGUUAGAUGAUAAAGAUUAGAGUUAUUCAUCAUCUUGGCUCUGGCUGCCUCCACACGUUUGUUUUGAUCUCUUUGUGACACUGAGAGAUGAGGUAGCAUGUGGUCCAGUCGGGUAUCUGCGGACGGUGCUGUGCACUAAAUGUGUAUGGAAUGUGAAAGUGUGCGUUUUACUCUGUUGGUGUCAUUGACAGCACUGCAAACAUAUGCAGGUGGAUGUGUCUGAAAAUGUGUAUAUGUGUGCAUUUAUGUGUGAAGGGCACGGCAUGUUGACGUUUGCUUACUGGGACCAACACCCCCUUACCAGUUCUGGAAAUCCCUGGCACUCCAGGAGAACCAGUGUUAAGGCUGUUUACAGUGGCCAGAGUGUCAUGGGAGAGGUGGAGAUUGACCGCUGUGUCUCGCAAAGCACGUACAAGCCACAUAUUAUGUUUGUCACGCACUUCCUCCAUUCGCAUCCAUUAAGGCAUGUUUAGUAGGUGACACAAACAUCUGAGACUAAGAGAAAUAGUACAGCAGAUUACGUUUCCUGUUUUUAAUGGGUUCAUUCUGUUGUGGCAGUUACAUUUUCUAAAUUCCAAAGAUCUUCGUCAGUUGAUCUACACUAGUAGAUAUCCUCCUCUGUUUUGACUUUUUUUUACUUCUUAAAAAUGGUACAAAUAAAGUUAGUGAAUAACUUUAUUUAUUAUGAAAUGCAAUAAGCACUAAAUUAUAAGAUAUUUCCGUCUUUGAUCUUUUUACAAU
Molecule: RNA transcript, 3624 nt
Organism: Megalobrama amblycephala (Wuchang bream)
Lineage: Eukaryota; Metazoa; Chordata; Actinopteri; Cypriniformes; Xenocyprididae
Gene: gnb1l
Gene name: guanine nucleotide binding protein (G protein), beta polypeptide 1-like
Exons: 10
Source: RefSeq, a predicted model, not a curated record